RNAcentral lists this long non-coding RNA (207 nucleotides) under Coffea arabica (coffee). Its description in RNAcentral is "long non-coding RNA (CARA_LNC000886)". Lineage: Eukaryota; Viridiplantae; Streptophyta; Magnoliopsida; Gentianales; Rubiaceae. The record is from RNAcentral.
CUGAUAAUUGUUUGAUAUAAGUUAGUGUUUGUAAUGAGGAAAAUUAAUUUGCUCUCUAAUUAUUUGUAGAUGCAUGUAUUGAUCGAAAUAAUGGUUCUUAGUUGUAGUAGUCAAGCAAACAAAUGCUAUAUAUAAAUUUUCUAUGUUUAAGUUUAGGGCUUGUGGGUUGAAAUUUAGGAUGGAUCAAACAAACAAUAUUGAAAAACU